Molecule: long non-coding RNA, 821 nt
Organism: Magallana angulata
Lineage: Eukaryota; Metazoa; Mollusca; Bivalvia; Ostreida; Ostreidae
Exons: 3
Source: RefSeq, a predicted model, not a curated record
AAUUAAGGUGGAAGGCUACAUCGUCACAAACAUGUCUGACUUCCGUUCGAAACGCCAUUGUGUUCCGGAUUGAUAACAUUAUGCCGUGGUACAAAAUAGCUAUACACCGUUUAAUUGAACUCUUCUAACUAAGGAGACGAGAUAGGACUGAAAUCACCAAAACGCUUAGAAAAUAUGUCAAUUUUCUUCCUGUUUAAAGCUUUUAACUAACAUUGAUUAUCAGCUGUUUUGUACGGAAAACGUGGACUCUAAAUAAUAUACCGUUUCCCUGCUCUGCUGCUAUUGGCAAUACAUUUUUGUCAUGUCAUCUGCAACAGACGAUCAUAAAUAUGUGGAGGAUUAUCGAUAUAGAUACAGCUAGGUAGCAAUAGCAGUGGAAGCCCGGAUUUGCAAGCAAAAUGAGGGAAAGACAGGAUUCUGAAAAGGAGCAUGUUUUUCAUUUCCACACAUGCAUGUGUAUCACUAUGGACAUCUAAUGUUUUUGUGGGAUUUUGUUCAGCAGUUUGCCUUAACAGAAUUUUUUCAUAUUUUAGUUUCAUAUUUAUGUGGAUUCCAAUAAAAAUCAUACAAACUUCAUUCAUGAUUUUUUUGUUUUUCAUUUCUAAACUUAAUAACAUUUCACUUUCAUAAGAAUUUUAAAACAGAAAUGUUUAAAAAUUUGAUAAAUAAGGGGUUAUCUGGAACCAGACUGAUAUUUUAAAAAUUAUCUAGAAAAUAGUGUAUUGUAUUUUGAGGUAUAUUAUUGUUGAAUACUGUGCCUAGUAUUGGUAACAAAUGCAUGCAACAAAAAUCUCCUACACUUAUUUGGUGUAGAGAUCCAC